AUGGUGAAGAAAAACCCAUGUGGCCAUGAUUGCUCUAGUACAAGAAGGAAAAAGAAGAUGAAAAAUGCAACCAAGUAUUGGAUAUGUGAUAAGGUGAAGGAUUGGCUGAUUGAAGAUGCUACUCUCGGAGCGAAGGCAUUGCACAAAAAGAUUAAAGAACACCACAAGGUUGACAUCCACUACAAGAGGGUAUAUAUGGGUAAGAAGCUAGCUCUGAAAGAACUAUAUGGUGAUUGGGAUAGCAGCUUUGACAAUUUGUAUAGGUUUAAAGCACAAGUAGAAAUCUCUUGCCCUGGUAGCAUAGUGCAGAUCGAUCAUUUCACUAUAAAAGAAAAAAAAUAG
Molecule: ribosomal RNA, 342 nt
Filed under: Triticum aestivum (bread wheat)
Lineage: Eukaryota; Viridiplantae; Streptophyta; Magnoliopsida; Poales; Poaceae
Description: partial small subunit ribosomal RNA
Source: RNAcentral